UAACAAAAGUAUGUGUACAAAUUUAUUUAUGCCCACAAUGUGGUGUAAGGAAAACACUUAUUCGGAGCACAUUUUCCAAUUUCAAGUCUGGAUUCUCUACAUCCUUUAAUCACAAUGUCAUAUAUGUUAAUAGAAUAGCAGUGUGUCAUAUGAAUCUCAAUUUUUUGAACAAGAAAAUGAAUUUGGGGAUUUGAAUGAACAAAGUGAAGAUAUUGCUGAAAAUUAUGACAAGCACCAAGAGUUAACCACCAAAACACAAGUUUUUAAUGACUCUGAAGAUAUCUUUACCAAGCAAUCUAUCUCAUUAUUACAGAGGAACCCAAACAACCAUGUCAACAUAGUCAAAGUCAUUUGUCACCCACUGGCCACUAUACUGGCCUAUUGUUACAGUUUGACUUUGCAUCAAAUGUAUCAUGUCAGCAAUCCUUUGUUGUUCAUGAUUAUAAUGCAAACAAAAGAACAAUUAUGCAUAAUUCAUUUGUAUUUGUACAUCGAUAUCCCACCUAUUGCUUGAUGGCUAUGGUUGAUAU
Xenia sp. Carnegie-2017 is the source of this 530-nucleotide long non-coding RNA. RefSeq lists it as uncharacterized. The transcript is spliced from 5 exons. The record is from RefSeq and is a predicted model, not a curated record. NCBI's taxonomy places the organism in Eukaryota, Metazoa, Cnidaria, Anthozoa, Malacalcyonacea, Xeniidae.